GAUGAACGCUGGCGGCGUGCCUAAUACAUGCAAGUCGAGCGAACGGGCGAGAAGCUUGCUUCUCUGAUGUUAGCGGCGGACGGGUGAGUAACACGUGGAUAACCUACCUAUAAGACUGGGAUAACUUCGGGAAACCGGAGCUAAUACCGGAUGAUAUUUUGUACCGCAUGGUUCAAAAGUGAAAGACGGUCUUGCUGUCACUUAUAGAUGGAUCCGCGCUGCAUUAGCUAGUUGGUAAGGUAACGGCUUACCAAGGCAACGAUGCAUAGCCGACCUGAGAGGGUGAUCGGCCACACUGGAACUGAGACACGGUCCAGACUCCUACGGGAGGCAGCAGUAGGGAAUCUUCCGCAAUGGGCGAAAGCCUGACGGAGCAACGCCGCGUGAGUGAUGAAGGUCUUCGGAUCGUAAAACUCUGUUAUUAGGGAAGAACAUAUGUGUAAGUAACUGUGCACAUCUUGACGGUACCUAAUCAGAAAGCCACGGCUAACUACGUG
This 497-nucleotide ribosomal RNA is filed under the name uncultured bacterium. Its description in RNAcentral is "partial 16S ribosomal RNA". It matches the Rfam family "Bacterial small subunit ribosomal RNA", at positions 28 to 507 of the family's 1533-position model. The record is from RNAcentral.